Molecule: non-coding RNA, 64 nt
Organism: Dipodomys ordii (Ord's kangaroo rat)
Lineage: Eukaryota; Metazoa; Chordata; Mammalia; Rodentia; Heteromyidae
Source: Rfam
GGUGGCUCAGUGGUAGAGUGCUUGCCUUGCAUGCAUGAGGCCCUGGGUCAAUUCCUCAGCACCA